Molecule: non-coding RNA, 76 nt
Filed under: Acidaminobacter hydrogenoformans DSM 2784
Lineage: Bacteria; Bacillati; Bacillota; Clostridia; Peptostreptococcales; Acidaminobacteraceae
Description: c-di-GMP-I riboswitch aptamer
Rfam family: c-di-GMP-I riboswitch aptamer
About the family: GEMM was predicted in a large-scale screen for bacterial structured RNA regulatory elements. Genes associated with GEMM are involved in a diverse array of functions, including chemotaxis regulation, signal transduction, secretion and chitin.
Source: Rfam by way of RNAcentral
UUCACGAAACGGCAAACCAAUUGAAAAAUUGGGACGCAAAGCUACAGGGCCUUUAAACUGGCAGCCAGCUGACGAA